This 492-nucleotide ribosomal RNA is filed under the name uncultured bacterium. Its description in RNAcentral is "partial 16S ribosomal RNA". It matches the Rfam family "Bacterial small subunit ribosomal RNA", at positions 29 to 507 of the family's 1533-position model. The record is from RNAcentral.
AGUGAACGCUGGCGGUAGGCCUAACACAUGCAAGUCGAACGGCAGCACAGUAAGAGCUUGCUCUUACGGGUGGCGAGUGGCGGACGGGUGAGGAAUACAUCGGAAUCUACUUUUUCGUGGGGGAUAACGUAGGGAAACUUACGUUAAUACCGCAUACGACCUACGGGUGAAAGCAGGGGAUCUUCGGACCUUGCGCGAUUGAAUGAGCCGAUGUCGGAUUAGCUAGUUGGCGGGGUAAAGGCCCACCAAGGCGACGAUCCGUAGCUGGUCUGAGAGGAUGAUCAGCCACACUGGAACUGAGACACGGUCCAGACUCCUACGGGAGGCAGCAGUGGGGAAUAUUGGACAAUGGGCGCAAGCCUGAUCCAGCCAUACCGCGUGGGUGAAGAAGGCCUUCGGGUUGUAAAGCCCUUUUGUUAGGAAAGAAAAGCAGCAGGUUAAUACCCCGCUGUUCUGACGGUACCCAAAGAAUAAGCACCGGCUAACUUCGUG